RNAcentral lists this long non-coding RNA (524 nucleotides) under Mytilus galloprovincialis (Mediterranean mussel). Lineage: Eukaryota; Metazoa; Mollusca; Bivalvia; Mytilida; Mytilidae. The record is from RNAcentral.
CAACUCUUCACAAGAGACCAUGUGACACAGAAAUUAACAACUAUAGAUCACCGUACGACCUUCAACAAUGAGCAAAGCUCAUACCUCAUAGUUAGCUUUAAAAAGACCUGAAAUGACAAAUGUAGAACAAUUCAAACGAGAAAACUAAUGGCCUAAUUUAUGUAUAAAAAAAUGAACAAAAAAUAAAUAUGUAACACAGCAACAAACGACAACCACUGAAUUAUAAAGACUCUUGACUUUGGACAGGCACAUACAUACAGAAUGUGGCGAGGUUAAACAUAAUAAUGUUAGCGGGAUCCCAACCCUUCCCUUAACCUUGGACAGUGGUGUAACAGUACAAAAUAAGAACCAACUAUACAAAUCAGUUGAAAAAGGCUUAACUCAUCAGAUGGAUAUAAACAGAAAUACAUCUAACAAAAACAGAGAGUGGACGUGACCGAGUACUUGUACAUCCCAUCAACAAAAAGACACCAAGUACAGAUCUGAGAGUACUUGCAGUUACUGACAGCUAGUUCAAAGCCAAU